GCCAACAUAGCUCAGUUGGUAGAGCAGCUGAUUUGUAAUCAGCCGGUCGGGGGUUCGAGUCCCUCUGUUGGCU
RNAcentral lists this transfer RNA (73 nucleotides) under Bacteroidota bacterium. Its description in RNAcentral is "Bacteroidetes bacterium tRNA-Thr". It matches the Rfam family "tRNA". From Rfam's summary of the family: Transfer RNA (tRNA) molecules are approximately 80 nucleotides in length. RNAcentral also lists the same sequence under 1 other name. Lineage: Bacteria; Pseudomonadati; Bacteroidota. The record is from RNAcentral.